Molecule: long non-coding RNA, 343 nt
Filed under: Prunus persica (peach)
Lineage: Eukaryota; Viridiplantae; Streptophyta; Magnoliopsida; Rosales; Rosaceae
Description: long non-coding RNA (PPER_LNC005812)
Source: RNAcentral
AGGAACAUAACAUGUAUCAUCAACAGUAAUCAACACUGCCCCAGCAAGAGUCAUAAUAGGUAGGAGCAAUAAUAUUGUCCCCAGCAAGAGACGCAACAAGUAUGAGCAACGGUACUGGCACCAGCAAAUAGUCAACAACAAUAACAAUGACAAUACUUCCAUUAUCACAGAGACAACUUCUCUUCACUCCCCCUCUCCCCCUGAAGAGAAGGGGUCGUCGGAACCAUAAGAAAAGUGGCACUUAAGAAACAUAAGCUCACUGACGCUUAGAUGUAGAAGAAUCAGCCAUGGCAAAUAGGUAGCUGAAUUUUAGCGGAAUAGAUGAGCAGUGGUGUCACUCCCC